UAAAACCCUAAUUUAACAAAUCUCAAAUUACAUUCAAAAUUUCCCUACAAUUAACAUGGCCGGAACCCUAACUAACUCCGCCGGAGUAACCUCUUUCCGGUUCUUCAACAACCACCGCUCGUAUCAUAUGUUUUUAAUUUCCUUUUAGGUAUUCCCAUCUUUUUUUUAGCACAAAGGCAUCCCUUGGAAACCUGAAGAUGAGCGAUGAUAGCCUUCAUAGCAGCCAUAUGUAUUUCUGGGCAUGUGACAUGAGAAAUCCUGAUGGUAGCUCGUUUGUGGAGUUGGUUUUCAGUUCGUUCAGUGCUGACGAUGAGGACUACGCUGGGUUUGAUUAUAGCCUUAUUGGAUAGCUUUCUGAAGUACGGUUGGUGUACUUGAAUCGAUUUAUUCAGGAGGUAAGGCCGUGGGGUAUGGUGGGGCUUGGGUUGGGGCAUUUGUUGACACGUGGAAUGGGAGCCCCCACCACUCAAACCCACGCCCAUGGGGUAUGGUGGGGCUUGGGUUGGGCUUGGGUUGGGGCAUUUGUUGACACGUGGAAUGGGAGCCCCCACCACUCAAACCCACACCCAUGGGAUAUGGUGGGGCUUGGGUUGGGGGCAUGAGUUUGGUUUGGCCAUUGAGAGCCUGCCAUGUCACUUACUAGCCCGCCCUACGCCCGGCUUCAAACCCACGCCAAUGGGGCCACGCCCAAACCCACGCCCCAACCCAAGCCCCCGGAGUGAUGGCUUGGGCGUUUUCAGCCAACCCACGCCCUAACCCAAGCCCCAUACCCAUGGUCUAAGACAUAAGUCUUCUCUUAUUUUUACGUCUGCUCUCCUUUUGCCAUUUCUUAGCUUAGUGUUGUGAUGCUUUUAGAUUAUAAGUUACUUCAUGGGCCUUGUUCCUACCAACUCAGUGGUAUUAACAGUUCAAUCAAGGUAUUAACGGUUUCAGUUUACACUGCUGCUAUAUUGUUGAAGGUUUCGGUUAAUUUUAUAUGAUGUGUAUUUACUAUUUUACCACUGAUUCAGAUCAUCUUUUUGUUGUUUUCUUUGAUCUUUAAGAAUCUUGAUUUUUUUCUGGUGGGAAAUGUUUUGUUGA
Molecule: long non-coding RNA, 1080 nt
Organism: Helianthus annuus (common sunflower)
Lineage: Eukaryota; Viridiplantae; Streptophyta; Magnoliopsida; Asterales; Asteraceae
Exons: 2
Source: RefSeq, a predicted model, not a curated record